AGCUUUGAGCAGUGGCAGUAUCGUAGCCAAUGAGGUUUAUCCAAGGUGCAAUUAUUGCUAAUUGAAACCUAAUUAUUUCACCACAGAAAUAUUUACUCAAGAAGUGUCAUGAGGGCCAGGAAUGGG
RNAcentral lists this small nuclear RNA (126 nucleotides) under Neogale vison (American mink). Its description in RNAcentral is "Neovison vison (American mink) U4 spliceosomal RNA (ENSNVIG00000021576.1)". It matches the Rfam family "U4 spliceosomal RNA". From Rfam's summary of the family: U4 small nuclear RNA (U4 snRNA) is a component of the major U2-dependent spliceosome. The record is from Rfam by way of RNAcentral. Lineage: Eukaryota; Metazoa; Chordata; Mammalia; Carnivora; Mustelidae.